Molecule: non-coding RNA, 69 nt
Organism: Struthio camelus australis
Lineage: Eukaryota; Metazoa; Chordata; Aves; Struthioniformes; Struthionidae
Source: Ensembl
GUCCUUAUAGCUUAAUGCAAAGCAUGGCACUGAAGAUGCCAAGAUGGUAUCUAGUAAUCCCUAAGGACA